UUUUUUUUUUUUUAAUCCUUUUUAUUUUUUUAAUAGCUAAGUGGUUUGACUGGUUUUCAGUGGUAGACCACGUGGAAAUGAGAAUAUUUAUCAUGUCUAUGAUCUGGUAAUUUUUAUGUACCAGAUUACACAAUGUAUGAAAUAAAAGAUGUGGUCAGUCCAGCAACUUGGACAAGCAUGGCUUUGCUUCUGUGAAGAAUGGGUCCCUAGCACACCAUGGUAGGGGUAGAGGCCACAGACUGAAGUGCUUGUUAAAUAGAUAAGUGCUUGUUAAAAUGCAGAUUCACAGGCCAGGAACUGGCCUCUCUUGAGUCAGAGUGGGAUACAGAGACCUGGGUCUCCAGGGGCAAGUGACUGAGAUCUGAGGACCUGAGCCCACACCUGGGUCAUCUGUUCCAUAGAGAAGUAACAAGCAUAACCAGCUCUUAAAGGUGUCAGCAGCUACUCCAGGGAAUGUCGUCUGGCUGGGUGUGGUGUGCACACUGUUAGUCCCAGCACUCGGGAGGCAGAGGCAGGGGCUUCUUCAAGUUUGAGGCUAGCCUGGUCUAAUAGAGAGUCUUGGGCCAACCAGGCUACCUAAUAAGACCCUGUCUCCAAAAAAAAAAAAAAAAAAAGAGAGUAAGAAAGACGAUGCCUGCUGAGUAAUGAAUCUUGGCUUUGUUUCUGAAUUAAACUUCCCUGAUACCUGGGUUUGGCUAUCUCCUUUUCAACUUGAACCUUUUUAAUGAAUCCAAAGAUGCUACAAAUGAGCCUUGCUGGAAACCAUUCUUCCCAAACACAGAUUAGUUUAUAUGCAAGCAAUAAAGGCUUACCUUCUGGUUUUUAACUUCUUGGUACUUACAUGAAGCCUAAUGAAAAUACUUAUGUCACCAUGAAAGAACACCUGUACUUGUUAUAGGCCAAAUCAUGUCAUUUACAAUUUAUAUAUUCAAGUCCUGGAUCAGUCACUUCAGAAUGUGACUGAAUGUGGAAAGAAGGCAUUUAUUUAUUUGUUGGUUUGUUUUUAAAUUUUUGAGGCAGGGUUUCUCUGUAAUCCUGGCUGUCCUAGAACUUGUAAGGACCAGGCUGGCCUUGAACUGAGAUCCACUUGCCACUGCCUCUGGGUAGUAUUUGGUGCUGGGACUAAAGGCAUCACCACCCCCACACAGCUGGAGAGUAAGGCUUUAAAGAGGUAAUAAGGUUUAAAUGAAGCUGUUAGGUUUUCUCUUCCUUAAAGCAAACCUACUGAUAUCCUUAAAAGGGUAGGAAAUUAGAACACAGGAGAGCAGGCUGAAGCACAGUUGUCUGUCCCUGGCCUCAGAAGAAACCGACUCCUGACACCCCCAUCAUUGAUUGCCAGUCUCUAGAACCUUAAGAAAACAAUUAUUUUCUGUUAAAUCAGUCAGCUGCAGUGAACCAGUAUAGUCCAUUCCUUAGUUGUGAGCCACCAUGUGGUUACUGAGAAUUGAACUCGGAACUGCUGAAAGAGCGGUCAGUGUUCUUUAACCACUGAGCAAUCUCUCCAGCCACCCUGUUCAGAGACGUUUAAGACAUUAAGUAGCCAUUUAAUGUCUUUAUCUCAGGGUUCUGCAUCGGUCACUCUAUAUCAUACUGUAACUGUGUGUAUACUGCGCUAAGGUCAAGGAAGAAGCAAGUAGAGUAGGGUUCAGUGUAGACCAGAACAAAUGCAACAACCUGCUUGUUAGGGUUUUUCUUUGUAAAACCAGGAUUGCAUUAGGAAGGCAUCAGAUGGUGGGAGCACAAACCAGACGUGCACAGCUCCAGCAGGACUUGGUGUGAUUGGUUUCAAUUGAAGCAGACACAAAGCCCCUUCCAGAGUGAGAUGCCUUGAACUAUGUAGUGGCUUACAUACCUGGAAGUGUAGGAUGUAUCCUGCCACUGUCUACAAUCUACACCUCAAAACACAUCAGAAGAAUUCCUAUGAGUGGCCUUGAAAGAAAGCAUGUCUGGGGUGUAAGACUUCAACUCUUAGCAACGUGCUCUAGCUUAGCACAAUAGCAAGGGCAGGCUACCCCAGGUGAGAGAGGGACAAAGAGACUGAAGAAGGCAGAGCUCUCAGCAAAGUUUAACAAACCCAAAGGGAAGAGAAUGGUUUAUUACUUAUUGCAAACAUCACCACCCAUAAUUUCCAUAAUUUCCCUACUUGUUCUAUGCAAGAGUCAUCAUUAAUGGGUAUUAUUCUGAGACAAAAUUCCAUUGUUUUAAUUUUUACUAUUGAUCACUAGUAAUGCCAUGUUUUCCAUCUAUAAUUUACUUGUUAUUCUUCUUUUUUGAACUAUGCACUUAUGUUCUUGGGCUUUUUCUGAAGUUAUUCAUAUAUAAUUUCUUUCUGGACUCAUAAUCAUUUCUUAUCCAUUGGUGUUAGUAUUUAUGUUUUUGGUGAAGCCUAGUGAUGACUGUAUGUGUUCUGCCUUUGCUGUCAUGUCAUAACUGCAUUCCUGGGUAUUACGGUUGUAAGAAACAAAGGCUCACUCGUUGAAGCUCUAGAGAAAGAAGACGGGAAGAACUAAAAUCAUUGUGUAGACUAGACCUAAAACUGGAUGCUCAAGAACGCCAGAGGCCAGAGCAUUUCCCCCAAAUUCAGGCUCACAGCACAGCAGUGUGGGAGAAAAUUAGGCUGUCUAUACAUUUACAUUUUUAGACAGUGUAAACAUAUAUGACUAUGCAAAAGUAUGUACAUCCUGUUUAUAAAGUAUAAACUGAUACCAUGUUAUAGUUUACAUUUGCAAUGUGCGCCAACAUUUUAUUAACUUUUCAACAAACCCAAAAGGACCUACAUGGGCCCUUCCUCCAACACCACUACAAUGGCGGACCUGAUACUGUGAUGGUAGGACAACUUCAAGACCAUCACAAGACCUCAGUGCCCAGCAGCAGCAGAGGGGAAGGCUCUCUUUCUUACUCUGCCUGGGCUCUUAAAUUUGCAUCAUCCUCACAUGGAAAAUGGAUAAUGAGCUGCCAACUGCAGACCCACCCAGGAAUACUUCAGAUGGCUGGACUGUAAGAGUAGUGUUUCCAGCCCAUUCCACAAAAAAGGAAUUUAAAUGGGAACAAGGAUCGUUGGAGUGGUCUCACUGUUAGGCUGACACUGACCAGCUGUCUCUUUCCGUUCUUCCAUGAGACUCCCCAAAGGCCUAUGAGCAAACUCACUGCCUCUCAGUGCCAUGACAGCUUUGGUUGCUGACCUCUAGGGUGGACUGGAGGUCUCUGGAGCCAUUGAUUCUCUAUGCCGUGAAAUGGGAAUGGAAGACCCUGCAUAUGGGCCCUGACUCUGACUAUUCAAACAAACCCUUUGGGUUUGUUAAACUUUGCUGAGAGCUCUGCCUUCUUCAGGGGAAGUGUUGCCUGCUGAGUGCCAGCCUUACUCUAGAUUCAGAGAAAGACUUUGUCUCAAGGAAAUAAAGCAGAAGAGAUAGGGCAGG
RNAcentral lists this long non-coding RNA (3419 nucleotides) under Mus musculus (house mouse). Its description in RNAcentral is "long non-coding RNA chr11:67064736-67068155". Lineage: Eukaryota; Metazoa; Chordata; Mammalia; Rodentia; Muridae. The record is from RNAcentral.